RNAcentral lists this ribosomal RNA (491 nucleotides) under uncultured bacterium. Its description in RNAcentral is "partial 16S ribosomal RNA". It matches the Rfam family "Bacterial small subunit ribosomal RNA", at positions 29 to 507 of the family's 1533-position model. The record is from RNAcentral.
AGUGAACGCUGGCGGUAGGCCUAACACAUGCAAGUCGAACGGCAGCACAGUAAGAGCUUGCUCUUACGGGUGGCGAGUGGCGGACGGGUGAGGAAUACAUCGGAAUCUACUUUUUCGUGGGGGAUAACGUAGGGAAACUUACGCUAAUACCGCAUACGACCUACGGGUGAAAGCAGGGGAUCUUCGGACCUUGCGCGAUUGAAUGAGCCGAUGUCGGAUUAGCUAGUUGGCGGGGUAAAGGCCCACCAAGGCGACGAUCCGUAGCUGUCUGAGAGGAUGAUCAGCCACACUGGAACUGAGACACGGUACAGACUCCUACGGGAGGCAGCAGUGGGGAAUAUUGGACAAUGGGCGCAAGCCUGAUCCAGCCAUACCGCGUGGGUGAAGAAGGCCUUCGGGUUGUAAAGCCCUUUUGUUGGGAAAGAAAAGCAGCAGGUUAAUACCCCGCUGUUCUGACGGUACCCAAAGAAUAAGCACCGGCUAACUUCGUG